RNAcentral lists this long non-coding RNA (262 nucleotides) under Medicago truncatula (barrel medic). RNAcentral's name for it is "long non-coding RNA (MTRU_LNC008082)". Lineage: Eukaryota; Viridiplantae; Streptophyta; Magnoliopsida; Fabales; Fabaceae. The record is from RNAcentral.
CCGGGAUUUCAAUAUACGGAAAAAUUCCACUUAUGCACUCUUGGUAUGGAACUCGAUCGCAUCCAUCUGAGCUAACAGCAGGGUUCUAUAACACAGCCAACCUAGAUGGUUAUGAACAGGUGGCACAGAUGUUUGCUAAAAACUCAUGCAAAAUCAUAUUACCUGGAAUGGACCUUUCAGAUGCAAAUCAACCGAAUGAAACUCAUUCAAGUCCCGAGUUGCUACUUUCGCAAACUAUGACAACUUUCAGAAACCAUGGUGU